UACGGAGGGAGCUAGCGUUGUUCGGAAUUACUGGGCGUAAAGCGCACGUAGGCGGCUUUGUAAGUUAGAGGUGAAAGCCCGGGGCUCAACUCCGGAACUGCCUUUAAGACUGCAUCGCUUGAAUCCGGGAGAGGUGAGUGGAAUUCCGAGUGUAGAGGUGAAAUUCGUAGAUAUUCGGAAGAACACCAGUGGCGAAGGCGGCUCACUGGACCGGUAUUGACGCUGAGGUGCGAAAGCGUGGGGAGCAAACAGGAUUAGAAACCCCCGUAGUCC
This 273-nucleotide ribosomal RNA is filed under the name uncultured bacterium. Its description in RNAcentral is "partial 16S ribosomal RNA". It matches the Rfam family "Bacterial small subunit ribosomal RNA", at positions 524 to 796 of the family's 1533-position model. The record is from RNAcentral.